AUGUGUGCCAAGGGCCUCUCUCUGUCAGGAGGUACUGUUGGGUUUUUGUACAGCUUCGUGUCACUGUGGUAUGUCUUCGGAGGAGGGACCACCCUGACCGUCUCUGGUCAGCCAGAAUCCGCUCCCAUAGUCCACCUCUUCCCUCCAUCCAUAGAAGAGAAGGAGAGCAAACAAAAGGCCACCCUGGUCUGUUUGGUGGACAACUUCCAUCCACCUGACAUCACAGUCAACUGGGAGGCUGAUGGGAGCCCUGUCUCUACGGGGGUGGAGACAACCAAGCCGAUUAAGCACAACAACAAAUACAUGGCCAGCAGUUACCUGACGGUGGAUCCCGCAAAGUGGGAAAGUCAUCAGAGUUUCUCCUGCAAGGUGACGCACAAAGGAACCAACUACAUGAAGAGUGUGAGCCAUUCGCAAUGUCCUUAACCCUCUCCUCCCACAGAGAUUUGCUGUGUCCAGAUCUCAGCUGUGUAAAGAGGAAAACAUCAGAUGGGCUGUGCAACUGGCUCUUUGUGUCCCUCCCCCUGCCUACCCCACUUUUCCUACUGUAUUCCCCACAAUUUUCACACACUUCCCCUUUCCCCUCAGCUUCAUAGGCAUCCCUGUUAGUUUUAAUGAAUAAUAAAACCAUGAUCAUGCAAUUUUGCUGUCUCUGUAUAGAUUUGCUUUAGUGGCAGUUUCAAAAAAGAUUGUUAGAUGACCUCUGUCAGUCAAUAAAACAAGGCAAUGCAUGAUCAUGUCA
Non-coding RNA from Heteronotia binoei (common prickly gecko), 742 nucleotides. The record is from the annotation of a RefSeq genome assembly. Lineage: Eukaryota; Metazoa; Chordata; Lepidosauria; Squamata; Gekkonidae.